UUCCUCCCACUCUUGGGUCUCAGAUAUUGGCAAUUUGAGCUGCUUUUUGCUUUCUACACUUUUUCCCAGUGACACCUCUCCCAAGUACACAGAUAUAGGUUUUUUCUUCUGCCACUGAGCCCCAGUAGUGUGCCACUGGUACUUGUUCUGACAGAAAAGCUGUAAUAAUACCCAGCUCUUGUACAGCCAUUGCCACAGGACAUCUAAAGCUCUGACAUGGCUGUUGAACCAAUCUGCAGCACAAAAAACAUCUCUCAAGACCCUCACCGUUGCUAAUGCUCUGAAUUCCCCCCUAGGAAGCAGCCAAAGGCUCCAUAAAUUCCCAUUGUUCCCCCCAGGAAGCAGCCAAAGCCUCCAUCCAGUGGAGCACAGCGGAACCCUGCAUUCAGUUCUGACACAGCUGCUGACCUGGAGCACGGGCACCAUCAGCCAGCCGGGACACAGGAUGCCUGGGUUGGACAAAUUCCAAAAGUUGUACUGAAAAGACAAGAUUUUAAUGAUGCUUCAAUCCCAAGUCAAAACCAUAAUUACAGUCAUGUGUACGAUCAGCCUCUGAGGACAGCAGGUCCAUCAUCAGAUUAUUUCCCUCAGUCCCGAGCCCAGCAGGAUGAGUUUGACUAUUCCAGGAAGGAUUUGCCUUAUCCAGUUUAUCCAGAGGCGAGACAGUACCGGAGAUACUAAGAACACAUGCUUCCUAUAUCACAUGUCUUGGAGUGCUGCAUGAUCAGUGGACAAUCCAGGUGCUGAGAGAGCAGUGAGGCCCUGGUGAGACACAGAGGAAAUUGCCAUCCCUAUCAGAGAGCACUGAGUUAUUGCCAAGAGAAGGUAUAGGGGAUAAUUGUAAAAGAAAACCUGAUCUGACAUGACAUUAACAUUUAAUUUAUUUACUGUGUGAUUGGUGACAGCUUUGUGUGAAUCCCUGAUUCUGCAGUGCACAAGGGUCUGGCCUGGCAGUGUGGUACAAACACAGCCAAGGACUUGGCCUCUCUCUGUCCCAAGAUCUAUCAAAUACCUACAGACCCAUUCCCUUGUCUCUUGUUUUUGCUUUGUCUUCCUUCUGUGUUGAUCCUAGCAGCUGGAAUGGUUUGCCUUUAAAA
This is a long non-coding RNA of Catharus ustulatus (Swainson's thrush), 1097 nucleotides long. RefSeq lists it as uncharacterized. The transcript is spliced from 4 exons. NCBI's taxonomy places the organism in Eukaryota, Metazoa, Chordata, Aves, Passeriformes, Turdidae. The record is from RefSeq and is a predicted model, not a curated record.